Molecule: unclassified non-coding RNA, 1387 nt
Filed under: Zea mays
Lineage: Eukaryota; Viridiplantae; Streptophyta; Magnoliopsida; Poales; Poaceae
Description: misc RNA Zm00001eb077620
Source: RNAcentral
GUCUCAGUCACUUCUCAUCUCUCCUUUUUAGGCCAAACACCACCCCCACCAGUCCCUGCGCUCCCCCCCUAAAAAUAGAAGCAGCAGCAUGCAAUUCCCCACACCCUCAAACAGAUCCUGAAGCUGGUGCUCUCCCUGCAGAUCCCCAAUCACCAGACGAUGGGCUUAUGAGAGUGAGCCAGCACCCCAGCACAGCAACUGUGUUACCGGCAUCACUACCACUGCGAGAGAGCUCAAGAAGCCAGCAGGCUCCAACUCCCACAGUACUUGUGAGAACCAAAGCUCAGCUGCUCAUCCAUGGACAUGUCGCCGAACCCCGACAGCCCCUCGUCAGGAGGGGGCAACGGCAUCGGGCCGAGCAGCGGAGGCGCAUCGCCGUCGGUUGGUUCCAUGACGCCGCAGUCGCCGAGCCGGUACGAGGCGCAGAAGCGGCGCGACUGGAACACGUUCGGGCAGUACCUGCGGAACCACCGGCCGCCGCUGAGCCUGGCGCAGUGCAGCGGGGCUCACGUCCUGGAGUUCCUCCGCUACCUGGACCAGUUCGGCAAGACCAAGGUGCACGGCCCGGCGUGCCCCUUCUUCGGCCAUCCGAACCCGCCGGCGCCGUGCCCCUGCCCGCUCCGCCAGGCCUGGGGCAGCCUGGACGCCCUGGUGGGCCGCCUCCGCGCCGCCUUCGAGGAGAACGGGGGCCGCCCGGAGUCCAACCCCUUCGCGGCGCGCGCCGUGCGCCUCUACCUCCGCGAGGUCCGCGAGCACCAGGCCCGCGCCCGCGGCGUCAGCUACGAGAAGAAGAAGCGCAAGAAGCCGCAGCAGCUGCAGGGCGACAGCAGCGGCGGCCUUCACGGCCACGCGCACCAGCCGCCGCCGCCGCCCCCGCCGCCCGCCGGCGCCGCCUGCUGAGCCUGAGAUGUUCCAUCGUCGCCUCGACGGCUCGUAGCCUCGUACGUACGUACGUACGCUCUCCCAUUUGGCCGGUAUGAUGCCAGAUUGAGCUUGAGCAUACAUAUUUUAUGUAUCAUCUCGCGCGCGUAUGCGUGCAUGCAUGUGCAUGGCAGCAGUAGUGUAUGAUGAUCCGUGUACUCUACCCGUGAGAAGCACUACUAUCUAGUACGUGUGUGUACUGCAUUGCUGGUCCUGUGUUUUCGAUUCGCUUUGGUGUUGUCGGAUCUAUUUGCAUUGCUUGUAGGAGUGAGCAAGUGUGUUUGCUGUACUUUGGACUGAGGAGUAGUAUGUCCGUCGUCCGUACGUCCUUUGAGGUCUAGCUAGGGACAGGGAGAUACAUAUAUGGUGAUCUCUCUUUGCUGCAGCUUCUGUUUGUGGGAAAUUCAAAAGCCUGUGUCGUGUGUGUGUCCAUCUAUCUCUCUCUCUACGCAUGCAUGUGUCAUUU